RNAcentral lists this long non-coding RNA (454 nucleotides) under Coffea arabica (coffee). Its description in RNAcentral is "long non-coding RNA (CARA_LNC008308)". The record is from RNAcentral. Lineage: Eukaryota; Viridiplantae; Streptophyta; Magnoliopsida; Gentianales; Rubiaceae.
AUUCCAAGGGGGCGGUAUAAUGUCUUUUAUCUUUUUGUCUCUCCUAUGUGAUCCAAUGUGCUAAGUGAAUUACAUGUCUACUUUGCUUUCCUAGUUUUUCUUUAAUUCCUUUUACUCAUGUCAUUUACUUUUUGUUUUCAUUAAGUUAUUCUUUUAAUGGGGUAUGUGUACACCUCUUGGCUUGUAAUAGAUAGGGCUUUGGCGAGCAAUUUGGUCCAUUUUCCCUUUCCCCCUUUUGUUUUAGUUAGUGAAUGUAAUAGAUAGGGCUUGGAGGAGCAUUCAAUGAACACCUAUCGAAGACGUGUGCCUAGCUAGCAAAUGUAAUAGUUAGGGGUUUAAUUGUCUUAUGUGUCUUGCAUGCUUAGUUGCUACGUGUUAAUUUGCUUUGUUAGGACCUUGCAUCUAGUCGAGCAUGCUAAGUGUUAUGUGCUAUGUGUUUAUGAGUGUUUGGCAU